This 155-nucleotide ribosomal RNA is filed under the name Trichoderma harzianum. Its description in RNAcentral is "5.8S ribosomal RNA". The stretch from base 3 to 127 matches the Rfam family "5.8S ribosomal RNA", at positions 30 to 154 of the family's 154-position model. From Rfam's summary of the family: 5.8S ribosomal RNA (5.8S rRNA) is a component of the large subunit of the eukaryotic ribosome. It is transcribed by RNA polymerase I as part of the 45S precursor that also contains 18S and 28S rRNA. Functionally, it is thought that 5.8S rRNA may be involved in ribosome translocation. The record is from RNAcentral. Lineage: Eukaryota; Fungi; Ascomycota; Sordariomycetes; Hypocreales; Hypocreaceae.
UGGCAUCGAUGAAGAACGCAGCGAAAUGCGAUAAGUAAUGUGAAUUGCAGAAUUCAGUGAAUCAUCGAAUCUUUGAACGCACAUUGCGCCCGCCAGUAUUCUGGCGGGCAUGCCUGUCCGAGCGUCAUUUCAACCCUCGAACCCCUCCGGGGGGU